AUCCCUUAUUGGCCUUUUAGCCAAAAUCAAGUGUAGCAUCCAUUCUUGUCAAUUUUAUGUCAGACACAUCUUCAGUUUCAGGACUUGAUGUUAAAUGGGUGUGGGGACGUAAU
Molecule: small nuclear RNA, 113 nt
Organism: Athene cunicularia (burrowing owl)
Lineage: Eukaryota; Metazoa; Chordata; Aves; Strigiformes; Strigidae
Gene: U2
Rfam family: U2 spliceosomal RNA
About the family: U2 is a small nuclear RNA (snRNA) component of the spliceosome (involved in pre-mRNA splicing). Complementary binding between U2 snRNA (in an area lying towards the 5' end but 3' to hairpin I) and the branchpoint sequence (BPS) of the intron results the bulging out of an unpaired adenosine, on the BPS, which initiates a nucleophilic attack at the intronic 5' splice site, thus starting the first of two transesterification reactions that mediate splicing.
Source: Ensembl